UUGAGGUGUGUGGAGGUUUAUAAAUUAUAUUUAAAGGUGGGAGAAAAGCACUUAAUUGUACCUCAUACUAGAGGUGUAAUUCAGUGCGGCUCGGGUUGAACCGCACCAAAUUAUAUCAAAUCAAAAAAAUCGAAUAAAAAAUUAUCACACCGAACCGAAUCCAAAAUAAAUAAAAAUCAAAUCGUACCAAACUACCUUAUUCGGUUCGAUUC
This 212-nucleotide long non-coding RNA is filed under the name Elaeis guineensis (African oil palm). Its description in RNAcentral is "long non-coding RNA (EGUI_LNC018402)". The record is from RNAcentral. Lineage: Eukaryota; Viridiplantae; Streptophyta; Magnoliopsida; Arecales; Arecaceae.